This 1372-nucleotide ribosomal RNA is filed under the name uncultured bacterium. RNAcentral's name for it is "bacterial SSU rRNA". It matches the Rfam family "Bacterial small subunit ribosomal RNA", at positions 28 to 1381 of the family's 1533-position model. The record is from RNAcentral.
GAUGAACGCUGGCGGCGUGCCUAAUACAUGCAAGUCGAGCGAACGGACGAGAAGCUUGCUUCUCUGAUGUUAGCGGCGGACGGGUGAGUAACACGUGGAUAACCUACCUAUAAGACUGGGAUAACUUCGGGAAACCGGAGCUAAUACCGGAUAAUAUUUUGAACCGCAUGGUUCAAAAGUGAAAGACGGUCUUGCUGUCACUUAUAGAUGGAUCCGCGCUGCAUUAGCUAGUUGGUAAGGUAACGGCUUACCAAGGCAACGAUGCAUAGCCGACCUGAGAGGGUGAUCGGCCACACUGGAACUGAGACACGGUCCAGACUCCUACGGGAGGCAGCAGUAGGGAAUCUUCCGCAAUGGGCGAAAGCCUGACGGAGCAACGCCGCGUGAGUGAUGAAGGUCUUCGGAUCGUAAAACUCUGUUAUUAGGGAAGAACAUAUGUGUAAGUAACUGUGCACAUCUUGACGGUACCUAAUCAGAAAGCCACGGCUAACUACGUGCCAGCAGCCGCGGUAAUACGUAGGUGGCAAGCGUUAUCCGGAAUUAUUGGGCGUAAAGCGCGCGUAGGCGGUUUUUUAAGUCUGGUGUGAAAGCCCACGGCUCAACCGUGGAGGGUCAUUGGAAACUGGAAAACUUGAGUGCAGAAGAGGAAAGUGGAAUUCCAUGUGUAGCGGUGAAAUGCGCAGAGAUAUGGAGGAACACCAGUGGCGAAGGCGACUCUCUGGUCUGUAACUGACGCUGAUGUGCGAAAGCGUGGGGAUCAAACAGGAUUAGAUACCCUGGUAGUUCACGCCGUAAACGAUGAGUGCUAAGUGUUAGGGGGUUUCCGCCCCUUAGUGCUGCAGCUAACGCAUUAAGCACUCCGCCUGGGGAGUACGACCGCAAGGUUGAAACUCAAAGGAAUUGACGGGGACCCGCACAAGCGGUGGAGCAUGUGGUUUAAUUCGAAGCAACGCGAAGAACCUUACCAAAUCUUGACAUCCUUUGACAACUCUAGAGAUAGAGCCUUCCCCUUCGGGGGACAAAGUGACAGGUGGUGCAUGGUUGUCGUCAGCUCGUGUCGUGAGAUGUUGGGUUAAGUCCCGCAGCGAGCGCAACCCUUAAGCUUAGUUGCCAUCAUUAAGUUGGGCACUCUAAGUUGACUGCCGGUGACAAACCGGAGGAAGGUGGGGAUGACGUCAAAUCAUCAUGCCCCUUAUGAUUUGGGCUACACACGUGCUACAAUGGACAAUACAAAGGGCAGCGAAACCGCGAGGUCAAGCAAAUCCCAUAAAGUUGUUCUCAGUUCGGAUUGUAGUCUGCAACUCGACUACAUGAAGCUGGAAUCGCUAGUAAUCGUAGAUCAGCAUGCUACGGUGAAUACGUUCCCGGGUCU